This 604-nucleotide ribosomal RNA is filed under the name Metriorrhynchina sp. BM0083. RNAcentral's name for it is "partial 16S ribosomal RNA". It matches the Rfam family "Bacterial large subunit ribosomal RNA", at positions 1822 to 2714 of the family's 2925-position model. Lineage: Eukaryota; Metazoa; Arthropoda; Insecta; Coleoptera; Lycidae. The record is from RNAcentral.
CAUGUCCUUUUGAAAAUAAUUUAAGGUCUAAUCUGCUCAAUGAAUAUUUAAAUAGCCGCAGUAUAUUGACUGUGCAAAGGUAGCAUAAUAAUUAGUUUCUUAAUUAGAAACUGGAAUGAAUGAUUGGACAAGAAAAAUUCUGUCUCUUUUGUAAAAUUUUUGAAUUUUAUUUUUAAGUGAAAAAGCUUAAAUGAGUAUAAAAGACGAGAAGACCCUAUAGAGUUUAAUAGUUAAAUUAGAUUAUAAAUUAGAACUAAUUUUUUAAAAUAAUUUAUUUAGUUGGGGUGACUCAAAGAUUAAAUUAAUUCUUUGUUUAAAAAAUUAAUGAUUAUUAAAUUUUAAAUCUAUUAUUAAUAAAUUUAAAAUAAAUUACCUUAGGGAUAACAGCGUAAUUUUUCUUAAAAGUUCUUAUUGAAAGAAAAGUUUGCGACCUCGAUGUUGGAUUAAAAUAAAUUUUUGGUGCAAUAACUUAAAAAUUGGGUCUGUUCGACCUUUAAUAUUUUACAUGAUCUGAGUUUAGACCGGUGUAAACCAGGUUGGAUUCUAUCUUUAGAAUAAUAAUAUAUUUUAGUACGAAAGGACCAAAUAUAUAUUAAAUUAAUUG